CCUACGGGAGGCUGCAGUGGGGAAUAUUGGACAAUGGGGGCAACCCUGAUCCAGCCAUGCCGCGUGUGUGAAGAAGGCCCUCGGGUUGUAAAGCACUUUCAGUGAGGAAGAACGCCUGGUGGUUAAUACCCAUCAGGAAAGACAUCACUCACAGAAGAAGCACCGGCUAACUCCGUGCCAGCAGCCGCGGUAAUACGGAGGGUGCGAGCGUUAAUCGGAAUUACUGGGCGUAAAGCGCGCGUAGGUGGCUUGAUAAGCCGGUUGUGAAAGCCCCGGGCUCAACCUGGGAACGGCAUCCGGAACUGGCAAGCUAGAGUGCAGGAGAGGAAGGUAGAAUUCCCGGUGUAGCGGUGAAAUGCGUAGAGAUAGGGAGGAAUACCAGUGGCGAAGGCGGCCGUCUGGACUGACACUGACACUGAGGUGCGAAAGCGUGGGUAGCAAACAGGAUUAGAUACCCGAGUAGUC
RNAcentral lists this ribosomal RNA (465 nucleotides) under Vreelandella stevensii. Its description in RNAcentral is "partial 16S ribosomal RNA". It matches the Rfam family "Bacterial small subunit ribosomal RNA", at positions 338 to 795 of the family's 1533-position model. The record is from RNAcentral. Lineage: Bacteria; Pseudomonadati; Pseudomonadota; Gammaproteobacteria; Oceanospirillales; Halomonadaceae.